GCCGAUUGGCUGGCCAGGGGAUGACAUGGCUGGGGAUUCCCUCAAUCGCGCGGAGGCUGAGAGCCAGCCCCCGCACACGUGGAGAGGGUGUAAAGCCCGCAACUCCACCUCCUCUCCAGUUCGGAAGUGGCUUUCCCCCAAUAAGUACGUAUGCUGCUCAGGGGUGUAGCUUUUUUCUAAAGACCCAACUUCAGAGUUCCUCCCUCUUCUAAGCCAGCUGCAAGUGUCAAGAAGAUUAUCAGUAAUUUAUGAAAAAAUAUCUAUAAAACACAAACACCUCACAUUAAUAAUGCUAAUCUGGCAUUGGGCUUAAUUCUUUGCUUGGUAAUAGGAGUAUUGCAAGCUUUCUCAUGCAGCUGGUGUGUAGAACUUCCAGCUCUUCAGGCCAGUCUUGGCCCACCAGGGGAAUUCAAGUUACCUGUGAUGCUAUUUUCCAAAAAUCACACCCACCCACCCAUCAACAGACAUCCCUCCUAACUAGCCAUACUGACUGGGACUGGUGGAAGUAGGAUCCAACAAAAUCUGGAGAGAAACACAUUGGCUACUCCUGGUGUAAACAGUACUGAGUUGAUGGACCACUUAUCUGAUUAUGUCUAAGGAGCUUCCUAUACUGCCCCUUUCUGCUCUAUGGUUCCCUUCUUGAGAUGGAUGCAACAAUAUGCGGUAGGGAAGGGCCAAAGCUCAGUGUCUGAGCAUCUGCUCUGCACCCCUGGUAUCCAGGUUCAAUCCCCAACUUCUCCACACAGGACUGGAGGAGCAUCCCUGUCUGAAAUCCUGGCUAGCCACUGCCAGUCAUGUAGACAAUACUGAAUUCGGUGGACCAAUGGUCUGACUCAGUAUAAGGUAGUUUCCGAUGUUUCUCUGUUUCCUGUUGUUUCUCCACAUCAGUUUCUCUUCAGUGGUGUUGACAUGGCGACUAAUACUGAUGAGACAUCAUUCAUGAAUUGGUCUAAGCCACCUUUGAAAGGCACUUAACUCCUUUACUCAUUCUCUUUGGCUUACCACAAAACUUUUACAUCUGACACAGUUUCAUUUUCUUUUCCAAACUAGUGCUUUUCCAAUGGAUGUUUGGGAAUUCUCUUGCGCCACGAUAAAAUUAAUGGUGCGUGUGUGGCAUAUUAUUUUCAUGAGUCCAAACCCACAGGAGAGAAGUUCAUCAGAACAAUAUGUAACUGGGAAAACUUUGCAAAGCCCGUGGAGAGAAAUCAAGCCAGUAACAGCUUUGGCUGCCAAGCCUGACGGCAGGGUGUGAGUAAUUUGAAAUGAAAAGCUAUAGGAUUUGAAACAUUGCUUGAAAUGUAUGAGACAUGUUGCAAGCUCAACAUGUCUCUCUCAUCUAGAUGCAGGGAGAGAGAGAGGGAGAGAGAGGGAGAUGAACACAGUGUUUGGAAGAAAGCAGAACCAGCCCUAUAAGAUUUGCUGAAAAACACACAAGGAAAACUAUUAGAACCACAUUAUUGGCUGGAUUUUUAAUGGAUCAUUUGACACCCCUGAUGUUCUCUUUUAGCAGCCAGUUUUGGUAUGAGAGUGAGAGUGAGAGAAUGCUAUAAAGUUGCAGUCCUGUGCUCCUCAGGCAUUGGCUUAACUGCUGUGAUGUCACAGAACAUUCUAAAAGGCAAUGGUUGAUCUCAUAAGUGGCCUAAUAAGAGGAGAGGCUGCUAGUUGCUGUGGGGGAAGGCAGGGAAUUAGGGAUGCAUCAGCCUUGAAGAGUCCAGACUAGGGAGGCUUCUAACAUCUGCACAUUGAAUGAAACUGAAUGCUGGAAGAUUCAGGACAGAUAAAAGAAAGUAGCAUGGUUAAACUUUGGUAAUUAUGUUUGGGACUACAACUCCCAUCAUCCCUAGCUAACAGGACCAGUGGUCAGGGAUGAUGGGAAUUGUAGUCCCGAAAUAUCUGGAGGUCCGGUUUUGGGGAUGCCUGAGCUAGAGUAAUGUUGCCAUGCACCUGGAAUUCCCUGGACAUAGCCAGAAUACAGCGGUCUGAAACAGCUAGAGCUCAGGAAGCUAUUGCUGCUCAAGCAGGACUGAAAUAGGGCGUCAUGGAGUAUGAGCCCUGGAACCCUCAGGGAACGAACCAAACAACCCCACAGAUCAAGGACCAGGCAGGGCCCCCUGAAUCCAAUGCUGAUGAUUCACUGGUAAAGCCCUCUGGGUUGUGACCUGGUGAAGAACCCCUGGAACUGUCAGAGAAGGAGAUAAAGGCACCCACUCCCAGUCGUCAAGAGUACCACCACCAAAAUCUUCAGAUACGGGCCGAAGAGCAAUAACAACAGUAUGCAUCUAUGGACCAUGAGUGGUUGGUCUAUGCAUGUGUAAGCAAUCCAUGAUACUCCUCCACUGCCAGGAGCCGUGUUUAGCCUCCCCCUUGAGCCUUCCAGUUGCUGGAAACAACACCGGUCUCUGGCUCCUUGGAGCAGCUUCUAGGUCCUUCUUCUGGCUGAAAUUUACAUUUUAGCUGUUUCUUGAUGAACUGUGUUCAUCUGCAAACCUACCCUUGUUGAUGUUUACUUUGAUUAAGGUGCAUAUCUUCUGUAGCUGGGUCCUUAGCCCCUGAGAGCAUCCCUUGGAGCAGGACAUGAAACAAGAAGCCCUCUUACACAACUGCCAGUUCAGGAGGAUCCAUUGGCCAGCCUGGAUGGGUGGAGUUAGCCCAGGUCUUUGAGAAACUGAACUCAUCAUGCCGGAUCAGCUGUCCGCAGAUCCCCAGUAGCUCCUGACAGAACCAGCAGAACAAAAAAGGAACAGGACGAGGAAAUUCUUCUUAUCCUGACUAGAGAGCCAGUGGAACCGAAGGUGCUUCUUAUGCGGCUGUUCUGAAUGAAAUGUCUUAAUUUCUGAGCACAUCAGAAAAGCACAAUAUAAAUUGAAAGCAUUUCCUUAACUCCAGCAAGAGCAGCUUGACAGUUGCUUCCAUAAACAUCCCAUGAACAUUGUCAAAUUUAUGUCUGAUACGGCCAAUUAUCUACCUUUCCGUGACAGAGGUUCGAGUCAGAGGAAAGGCAAGCAGAAAAAUUCAUUUGAGGCUCUUGCUGCACCAACCUGCUCCACAUUUAGCUUAUUUUAAUGAUCUCCCCCUAUUUACCUUACUGUUUAUUAUUUCAUAUGAUUUUCUUCCCCUUUCCAUUCCUCGGAGAGUAUUAUUAAAUAUAAAGAAUUCACUUAGUUAUGGGCACCAUGUCCAGGCUUAGCCUUAAAAGCUGCAGCUUCCCUUUGAUCUACAAUGUACCAAAAUGUGUGAUUAUGCUAUAAAAAGAUAAUGGUGGGAACAUCAAAGGAACGUUGGGAAGGGGGGCAAAACUCCCGCCAGAUUGGCUUAGUAGCUGCUGAACAGCUUAAGAAUAGUGACAGAACAUGAAGACAACCUGAGUUGAGUCUUUAAUGCAUUUUAAUAGGGGCUCUGCAAAAGUCUGUAACAUUGAUAUCCGUGAAAUAUAGGAUGUUCUGACUUCCCUCGGAAAUCUUAUUUCAAAUGCAAACUGUAUCUGGAAGUCGCAUAUAACAGCCUUAGUGCAUUGGGUGGAACAAAUACUUGGGUAUUCCCAGAAGGAUAAACUUUUGAAUCAUUUCCCCCACCCCCGCCCCAUCCCACUUCCCAUCACUAAGCACCUGCCAUUUUAUUUUCCAGAGUUAGGCAUGGAUUUGAUUUUUGAAGACAAAAAUAAGUCUCCGCUAAGAACAUCAAAAUCUAUUUUGGCCAAAGAAGGAAGUUGCAGGGUUAAUUUGGGCUUACACAUGGUACCUGCAGCUAACUGCCAGAUGUAAUUAAAUGAUACUAUCAUGCCUUUUAUAUAACAGACAAGUGCAGAGCAAUCUCUGAAAGCUCUUUCAAAUGAUCUAUUUGAAUUCCAUCUAUUUUCCCCACCCACAAACUUGAAUAUAAAAAGCCAUGUGUUGUGCAAAUGUAAUUGUGUGAGUUAGAGGCAAAGAAUGAAGAGUCUCCCCAUUUGAGUCCUUGUUUCUUCAAUGUUCUGUCCAGUAUCCCACUUCUGUGCUGUUGUGCUCAGGUGGGUUUCCCAUAGGUAUCUUGUUGCGAGCUUCCCAUAGUCAUCUCUUUGCAGACUUCCCAUCAGAAGUGGAUUUAGGGGAGCACAACUGGUUUGGUCACACUGGGCAGGGAGUCUCUGGGGUGCCACAAAGGGCUCCACAACUAUCAUGUAGAAUGGAAAGUGAGAGACAGGGUGGGCACUGAAUUUUGAUGUCGCACAGGGUGCCACUGAAAUUUGAGACUGCAAAGUCCGCCACUGUUUCCGUUUGGGCAUCUGAUUGGCCAUUGUGAAAACAGGAUACUGGAUGAGAUGGGACACUUGCCUGACCCAGCAGUGCUCCUCAUAUCGCCUUUCUUAUACUCCUGAAUUCUGGCUUGUUGAGGGGCAUCAAUGUCAUUCUGAAGAAGUGCAGCUUUUUUUUUAAAAAUGAUAUUUAUUGAAAAAAAUUUAGAAUUACAAAAGAAAACAAGGUAG
Molecule: non-coding RNA, 4459 nt
Organism: Podarcis lilfordi (Lilford's wall lizard)
Lineage: Eukaryota; Metazoa; Chordata; Lepidosauria; Squamata; Lacertidae
Source: the annotation of a GenBank genome assembly